This 384-nucleotide long non-coding RNA is filed under the name Bos taurus (domestic cattle). RNAcentral describes it as "long non-coding RNA NONBTAT005949". The record is from RNAcentral. Lineage: Eukaryota; Metazoa; Chordata; Mammalia; Artiodactyla; Bovidae.
GGAAAAGAUUAAACCAAUAUGGUUCCACUUGACCAUAUCUAGAUUUCAGUCAUGCCAUUCAUUAUCAGAUUUAGCAGACUUUUUAUUUAGUACCUCAUAUGUGCAAAGGCAUGAUUAUAAAUAAAAUAAUCAUUCUUCAGGAAGGGCCUUGAGGUUGCUUGACUUGUAGGAAGUUGUGCUUCUGCUUAUUUUGGUAAGAGGGACAAAGAUAGUCUAUGAAAAAGGGUUUUGUGCAGUGUAAUUUUGAAGUUUUUUGUGUCCGCUUUCUGGCCUCAACUAAGACAUUUCAGGGAUGUUACACGUUUUGCUUUUUUCCCUAAACAAGUAGUCCUGUAAAUUACCCUUAUUUUUUAUGCAUAGAUCAUUUGUUCUUAGGAUCAUUGG